Molecule: ribosomal RNA, 495 nt
Filed under: uncultured bacterium
Lineage: Bacteria
Description: bacterial SSU rRNA
Rfam family: Bacterial small subunit ribosomal RNA
Source: RNAcentral
AGUUUGAUCCUGGCUUAGGAUUAACGCUGGCGGCGUGCCUAAUACAUGCAAGUCGAAUGGUAGUAGCAAUACAAACCAUGGCGAACGGGUGAGUAACACGUAGGCAACCUGACUUUAAGACGAGGAUAACCGUUGGAAACGACGGAUAAUACUGGAUAGGACAUCACAAAGGGCAUCCUUAGAUGUUUAAAGGUUAUUAUGCCACUUAGAGAGGGGCCUGCGGCGCAUUAGCUAGUUGGUGAGAUAACAGCCCACCAAGGCGAUGAUGCGUAGCCGGACUGAGAGGUUGAACGGCCACAAUGGAACUGAGAACGGUCCAUACUCCUACGGGAGGCAGCAGUAGGGAAUUUUCGGCAAUGGGCGCAAGCCUGAACCCGAGCAACGCCGCGUGAACGAAGAAGUUAUUCGUAAUGUAAAGUUCUUUUAUCUGGGAAGAAAAAACAAAUUGACGGUACCAGAUGAAUAAGCUCCGGCUAACUACGUGCCAGCCGCUGC